UUAGGAAUAUUCGUCAAUGGGGGAAACCCUGAACGAGCAAUGCCGCGUGAGUGAUGACGGUCUUAUAGAUUGUAAAACUCUGUUGUAAAGGAAGAACCCUCGCUAUAGGAAAUGAUAGCGAGUUGACGGUACUUUACCAGAAAGCCCCGGCUAACUACGUGCCAGCAGCCGCGGUAAUACGUAGGGGGCGAGCGUUAUCCGGAUUUAUUGGGCGUAAAGCGUGUGUAGGCGGUUUAUUAAGUCUAAGAUUAAAGCCUGGGGCUUAACCCCAGUUUGUUUUAGAAACUGGUAGACUUGAGUGUGGUAGAGGCAAGUGGAAUUUCUAGUGUAGCGGUUAAAUGCGUAGAUAUUAGAAGGAACACCAGUGGCGAAGGCGGCUUGCUGGGCCAUUACUGACGCU
RNAcentral lists this ribosomal RNA (400 nucleotides) under uncultured bacterium. RNAcentral's name for it is "bacterial SSU rRNA". It matches the Rfam family "Bacterial small subunit ribosomal RNA", at positions 355 to 747 of the family's 1533-position model. The record is from RNAcentral.